This 28031-nucleotide long non-coding RNA is filed under the name Coffea arabica (coffee). RNAcentral's name for it is "long non-coding RNA (CARA_LNC007153)". The record is from RNAcentral. Lineage: Eukaryota; Viridiplantae; Streptophyta; Magnoliopsida; Gentianales; Rubiaceae.
UCUCAAAAACCCAACCGAGUGAGAGGAAAAGAAAACAGAGAACGAAGCUUUCUUUCCUCUUCAUACCCAAAACCGUGAGAAAGAGUGAGAGUGAAGGAGCAUUUCUGGUUCCUUCCAGCCACAACCGAGUGAGUAAGAGAGCUGAGUGAGUGAUAAGAGGAGGAAGCUAACUUAGAAUUUCAUAUAUCAGCUACCAUAGUGAGGAGGAACCGAAGCUAGGAGCAAUCUGCCACUAGUAAAACUUAGCAGAAAAAGGUAAGAAUCUUGUAACCACCCUUUUAUUUCUUGAAUAUAACUGAAUAUAUGGGCUUCAUGUUAGUUUAGCAAGGAAUAAUAAGUUUUAACCGAAGGGAGAUCUGAUAAAGAAGAAAAAUUGGAACUGGACUGAAGUUGUAGGAAGUAGGAACCGAGAGUUGUUGUUUGUUGUUGCAGCUUGUUAACCGAAAGUAUGGAGUAAUUUUCUGCUACAAGCUUAAACUAUAUGUUAUUUCCUUGUCUUACCUAAGUAACUAGAGCAGAGUUGAUAGCUUGAGUGAAAACUUUGCUAAGAUUAGCUGGUAGUUUCUAUCUAGCUGACCGAGAGAGGAAAUACGAAAUUUUCCAAAUUUCUUGACAGAUUUUGGGUUCCAAAUUCUUACGUUGAAGCUUAAUACCCUGCAUAAUAGUUUAGUCUCAGCAUGCAUGUUAGAUUGAGUGGGAAAUGAAGUAGAUAAUAGAGAAAUGUCUUGCUUAAAAAAAAAAAAACUGAGUUGCUGCCAAAACUUUUCCAGCAUGGCUGAAAGAGAGAGUUACACUUCAUAUCAGCCUUUCUUUCGAAGUUCAGCUGUAAAAUUUUAUACUUUCUGUUCAAGAUUACUUUGUAGCUUGCUAAUUAUGUUUUGCAUGUUGAGUUGAAGUUAAAACUGAAGAAAAUGUGAAGAAAGAACCGAAUCUUUAAACUGUCUUAUGGCUGGAAGAUUAGUUAGCAGAUGACAGAAUAAUUUUGAGGUUCAUGAUGGAAUUACUUGUUGAAAUGGUGGGUUAUCUGCUAUAGUUUAGGCUGGUUAGAUGAUAUGUUGAGUGAUUAGUGUUUAAGCAAGUAGACCAUGAAGAUUUGUUGAACAUCUUAAAUUGAUAUUGCUGGAAAUCUUGCUGGAUGGCCGAAACAGUGAAGAGUUGGGUUUUUCUAUGAACUUUCGAAAAUUCUAGGAUAGUUUGUUGUAAUAAUAUAUAUAUUUAUAUCAGUUUGUAACAUCUUGAUCUUGUUUUGAAUACUUUAAAGAACUUAAAACAUGAAGGACUAGUGAAGUGGAACAUAUAAGACUAGUAUGUAAUUCAUAAACAACCUAGAGUUUAGUUAGUUUUAAAAAGGAAAAUGGAGUAUCUAUAAGCCAUAAUUAAUAUUGGAUUGAGAAAGUAUAUUGGUUUGAACAUUAUACAAGUUUAUAAACUUGAAGAUAUGUAUGUUUCAUGGUUUAAAAAUAAUAAAGUCAAUAAGUUCGAAAAUAAAAUGAUGAAUAAAUAUUGAGAAUGUUAUAUUGUAUAUUUUAAAGCCAAACCUAAUUCGAAUAAUUUAAAUAAUAGGCGAACAUCUACAAAUUGUAAAUUUACCAUGGAAUUAUAUAUUUAUCUCAGGAAAUAGCUGCGAGCCAGGAAACAAACCCGAGGCUCGAGAGUAAAUUAUUUGGAUAAUUGGUGAGUGUUUUCCGAAUUUAUGUGUUAAACUGCUUAUGUGUACCUAAGUGCAAUUAUAUGGCAAAUGUGUUUAUUAUGAAAUAUUGCUAAGUGAUUCAUUGUGAAGUAUUUUCAAUUGUCUCUCGCCUUCUAAGUCGAUGGUGUACUUUAUCGCACUCGUCUUAGUUGAGCUUGAAGGUCGAUAAUUGAUCGAGUGAUAUUGUAAGUGUGCAUGACUGUAAGCCGAGUGUGUACUUUAUCACACCGGCUGAACUGGGCCCCAAAACCCUCUGUUCAACAAACUAUUCGAGCCAGCAAAGGGCUUGGUCGAGUAGGACGGUAGCUUUGGGUAAGUGUUGUGGUAUGCUCGAGUAUUACCACGGAGUAGCAGAUUACUGAUAUUGAUAUGGCCAUCCAAGUGAGGGAAGUGUUUAUUGUUUUGGAGAUUAUAAGGAGGAGUUCGGCGGAGUGUGUAGUGCAUUGAAGUGGCUCUAAUGCGAGCACCGUAUCCUUUUAAAAGUGAUUGUACAGUGAAAUGUGCACUACUUGCUUAAUUGUAUUGAUUCAUGUGAUUAUUAAAUGUUACUUGCAUGGAAACCUCACGGGCGUAAGCUCACCCUUUUAGCUUUGUUUUCCUUACAGGAGUCGGAGAUUGAAGAGUAAUUGGAUUGAACUAGAAAGUUAUUUUGGAAAGAUCCGUUAUUUUGUGUAUAUAGUGUAGUCAUCGUCUCUUUUUAAUUUUGAGACGGCUGAAUCUUUUGUUUGAGUUGGUGUGAUAUUAAGAAUGGAUAUUUAGAACAAGUAUUUAGUUUCUUUUAUUAGACAAAUUUAUGUUUCAAGUUUAUUGGAGUUGUACUUAAGAGUGAAUGUUCAGUUGUCCAAUGGUAAUGUUAUCUCUGAAGUUAAUGUGAGUGAGUGAGUCCUGGCGAGAGCCAAGCAGGCGAUCCGCUAACUUCUAGGGUAUGCCCUAGGAGAAGGUGGGGUCGUCACAGGUGGUAUCAGAGCUCCUAUCGAACUCGUGCCGUAAGAGGGUUUUCGGACUGUGGGGAAUGGCCUAUUAAGUGUUGAACUAAUUACUAUUGCCAAGGGAAUUAGAUAUGUAUGUUGGAUUGGAAUCUCAAAUAUAGGUGAUUUACACUUGGGACUGGCCAGGCUGAGUUGUGAAUCAUCUUAUUUUCGGAUUCUUGUACUCGAGUACCGAAUAUUACAUUUAAUGGUGUAUUUGCAAACUAGGAAGAAUUUGCAUUAUGACGUGAUCAGAAAUCAUGAUUUAAUUUGAAGAAAUAGAAUUAAAGAGACCAAGGCUAGCUUUUGAAAGUUAAAAAGUGAAGAGCUAAUAGUGAGAUCUUGAAGAUUAGUGCCAACUCUGUUUUAAGAUGAGUAAUUUUACUAGUCGUUCAAUGGUAAAUGGAAUACAUACCAUCUCUUACCCAAAAUAUAAGUUUAGACUUAGAAUUUGAGUGAAAUAGUAGUUUAAGUAAGGACCAGGAGCGUCCUUUCGGCAGUAUGUUCUAGGGCAUCGAAUGGCUAGUCACUGUGAUUGUUCAAGAAUUUACUUCUAUCUGGAGCGAGUGAUACUCUUUUAAAUGGGUAAAAGACAGCAGUUAGUAAUAGCAAAUGAGCGAGCUUAUAUUAGACUGUAAGAAAUGAGGAAAUUCAUAAGGAUGUGACGUGACAGGAUUCUAGAGUUGGAAACUAAUAUGAAAGAGGAACCUAUGGAAGACUGGAAGUAGAACCAAAAGAGGAAAUUGGGUCUGGUGGAACUGUCCAAAAUUAGAUUAAUGAAGUUUAAGUUGAAUCUAAACUAAGGGAUGAGCUAUUAGCCAUGUGGUUAUAAUAAUUUGUGUAUUAUUGAAUUGUUUUCCUUCAUGUUAUAAAGAUUGAAGUUUGAGUUAUGUAUGAAAAAGUGGGACUAUCAGUGAAUUGUUUGGCUUUUAAAGAUGUUUGAAGUUGGUGUGUAAUGUAAUUUAUAUUGUGUGUAUGUAAUUUGAUGAUCAUGUGUUCAUUUGUCAUAAUACUGUAAUAUUUAUUAGUCCUUGGGAUUAAAUAAUUACUAACUUGAGUGAAAUUUAAUUUGAUAACCAAAGUGGUGUAUAGAAACUAUGAGAUUAAGGUUGGAGAAAAAAGAGAGAAGAGAUUGAAAGUUGAGCUUAUAACGAUGUUAUAAUUGUUGCAAGGGCCAAUGGUGUUUUCUAAGAUGGAUUGUUGACAAGGAUACUGUCAAUGGAACAUUUAGAAGGAAGAUCAUGAAGAAUCUAAGGGUAGUGUUACCGACUUUAAGGAAGCAUCAAUUGUGAGUGUGAAUUCUGAAUGGAGAAAAUAUCAUUUCUAGGGCAUGAUAUUUCAAAGACAGGAAUUGAAGAAUAAAUAAAUUCCAUAGUCAUAGUCCUAUGAGAACAUCAUGGAAUGGAAGAAAUAACAUAGGAACUGGAAGAUAAAAGUGCAGAAGGAAUACUCGGAAUUCUUACGAUUAAAAAUAUGAAAUUUCGAGGACGAAAUUUUCUUAAGGGGGGAAGAUUGUGAGAACUCGAAAAAAAAAUUUAUAUGUACGCUAUGAAUUUCUUUUAUUCUAAUUACUUUGAUAUUAGAAAUAUUAUAACGAAUAAAUGGUUAAAUUAAAUGCCUAAUUGAAUUUAUAUAAAAAUUGAGAAUUUAGAAAUGUGGCGACUCCACUUCCCCCUAAGGCGAACCAGAGGGUUGGCGGGCCGUCUGCCUAGCUCUCGCCAGGACUCACACAAGCAAACUAUCCAACUCCUUCCGAAGAAUAACGUAAACUAUUACAACACCGUUUCCUUCCAAAUAGGCUGAAGACUAAAACCACAUUAACUUCAGAGAUAACAGCAUUUUUAAAAUAGCCAAUCGUCGACUCUUAAAUACCUUACGCAUUACAAACCAGGCAACAAAAACAUACAAUCCAAAUACAUUAGUACAAGCCAAAUAACAAUUCCAGGGUUUACCCUUUUCCAGCUUCAAGCGGCAAUCCAAAAUAAAAGAUACAAUGUUUAACUCAAACUACAUGCAUAAAAGUGAAAUUAGAUUUUAAGUCUUGCUCAAGUGCCAGGACCUGUCAAGGAAAACAAAUGAACGUGGGGUGAGCUAAAGCUCAGUGGUGCCCCAAAACAUGCAAUCACGUAAAUCAAACAGCGAGUAACAAUUUCACAAAUUGAACAAUUAGGAAAGCGUAUAAUAGCACAAGAUAGGAUACAGGGCUCUCAGGAGCCAUUCUCCACGCUUGAUCAAAAUUUACCAUAGUUGACCCUCUGUCAACUCUCACUACCUAAGGUCCAUGUAGAUCUUUUUAUUUUUCUUAACUCCGACCACCAAUCAUUCCCCUUUACCCGGCCCGAACGCCAAACACGAGAGUGGUAAUACUCGAGCAUACCUUAGGGACUGGUCAAGGAAUUCAUCCAACGACGUUACGUCCAACAAGAGAUUAGGGACUAGUCGAGGAAUUCAUCCAACGACAUUACGUCCAACAAGAGAUUAGGGACUGGUCGAGGAAAUACUCGAGCAUACCUUAGGGACUGGUCGAGGAAAUACUCGAGCAUACCUUAGGGACUGGUCAAGGAAUUCAUCCAACGACGUUACGUCCAACAAGAGAUUAGGGACUGGUCGAGGAAUUCAUCCAACGAUGUUACGUCCAACAAGAGAUUAGGGACUAGUCGAGGAAUUCAUCCAACGACGUUACAUCCAACAAGAGAUUUGUGACGCCUCGAAAGAAUGAGUGUGAGAACCCGAAAAUUUUCUAAGUUUCUAGGGUUUAUUUUAUUAAUCGCCUGCCUUUUCUACAUUUUCUUUAUUAGAAAAUUUCUCCAGAUAGUUUUAUGGGUAAAUAUAGUUUGAAAAUAAUUUUUCUAGUAUCGAUUAGUUUUUGAGAAAUUAAGAGCUUAUACCGGACGUGGGACCCGCUAGUGUGAUAUAAUUUUGGUGACUAAGUGAAUUGUGUGCUAAGUGUUAUUAUUUUACAAGGUGCUAGGAAAUGAUUAGAGGGUGGUUAUAUGAUGUAACCAUUGGAAGCCAAAGGAUUAAAGAAAAUACUAGAAGGGUCAAGUGUCACAAACCCAUUGCAAGUUGGACCUUUGACUAAGACCAUGAUUUCUUCUUCUUAUCUUGACCAAACCUUUUGUUUUCAUCAUUUCUUCUUCUUGUAAGCAUGAUGGACGAAAUUUUGAGAGAAAGAGAGAGAAAAUCCAGCAUCUUGCACCUCAAUUUCUUCCUCCAAUCUUGAGUUCUAACCGAUUAAAUUGCAAAUCACUCCAUAAAACUUGCUAGCUAAGGAAGAUUGAAGCUAUUGGUGGAGUUGUUUUGGAAGAAAAAUCCCUAAGCCAUCACCUUUCUUGAUAUUUCAAGGUAUCAUGUCCAACCAUCCUUUCUUUGAUCUUGAUUUUGUUAAAUUAAUGACUUGUGAUGGCUAAUGAGAUGUUUUAGUGGAAGAUUAGCACUUGAAUGCAAAAAUUUCCAGAUUAGGGUUUUCAAUUUCCCCAAUUCUGCCUGACACUGUUCAUCAUAGUUAGAGGCCGAAUUGGCCUUAGCACAAAACAUGAAAGUUGUAGAGAAUGAGGUUUUAUAGUUCCUGCAAAAUUUCAGCUCAAUCCCAAGUUCGGUAGCCUGUGAAAAGACCAAAAUACCCUUGCUGCCCUGUUUCUGUCCGAACCUGGAAAUCAGCUUUGGUAAUUGGUUAGUUUGACUGGGAAUACUACUGAUUUGGUUGUUGAUGUCUUCUUAAGAAUUCUAGCCUUGUAUCUUAGCUUUUAAAUGGCUUUGGAAUUACCUGAUUUGGAGUUGUGUGUGCUGAGUUAUGACUGAAUGAAUCAGGACUGCCACAGUGAGCUUCGAACUAGAAAAUCUGGGGUUGUUUUGGUAAAUAUGACCUAGUUAGGGUGAGAACUGGAAUGAGUUGUCUUCAUAAAAGUUAUAGGUCUUUGUCUUAGCUUCGAAACAGUGUAAAGUUCACCUCAAACCGAUAAGUGUAACUUCAGUUGUGGUUGUUACGCCGUAAGGUGUUUUAUCACCAUGUGUUGUAUGUGAGAUUGUACUUGACUUGAGAUGAUUUGGGAAUAUAUUGUAGGUUGGAAAUGAAGCAUUUAUGGGGAAAUGCUGUCCGAACGUUGAGAAUGUAUGAUUGCUUUGAGUUUGUGAUUUAGGGUUCAGACUCGGGCAAGGUAAUGAUAUAUGAUGGAUGGUUUCUGAGCCGUGGAGGUGAGUGACCCUAAACUGUUUCCAAAGUUACUCUUGAACUGUUUUCUUGCAUUAUUUACUCGAUUGUAUCUCAUGCGUGCUUGCAUGUGACUUCAUGACAUGAUUUGGCUUAAAUGAGUACUUAGAAUUCGUGUGCUAAACACCAACGUCUCCACCUCUGUGUACUGUUCAUCUGGAGCAAAUGGCUCCCUCUCUCACUGUUUACUGUUACUGGAUCUGUUUGAGCGUUGGGUGUUUAAGUGCAAUGAUUUCACUGGCUCACGAGAGCAAUAAACGUACAUUUGAUCUCUGAAUCAUGACAUCAUUGAAAUGAACGAUGGUGAAAUAUAUUUGAUUACUGAUUUUACUGGUUACUCACUGAGCUUUUAGCUCACCCCAAAAAUGUUGUAUUCCCCUCCACAGGGCUCAAGGCGAAGGAAAGGCUUGUAGUACUAAUUCACGUGAUUGGAUGGCAUAUAUCUUGUACAGUUUAUUUUGGAUUUAUUUUAUGUAAUAGUUAGGCUAGUGUGACUAUUUGGAAUUGUAAUGGAUGUAAGUAUACAUCCCACGCUUGAGAAUUAGUUUCCGCUUCUCUUAUGAUUUGUAAUUCUUGGAGAAUUUGACGUAUAUUUGAGAUUUAUCUUAUACUUCAUUGGAGGACUGUAGUGAGUGAAUGAGUCCCGGCGAGAGGUGGGCAGGCGACCCGCCAAACCCUGUGGUACGCCUUAGGGGGAGGUGGGGCCGUCACAAGAUUACCAUGUCAGGGUAAGAGUCCUUUCCACCCUUAAGGUGUAGUACACUCCCCUGCCUAGUAAUUAACAAGUGCAAGCAUGUAUUUAUGAAAACAUUUCAAGCAAGUCACCACUUGAACAGCUAGUGUGAUAAAGUACACGCUGCUCACUUCGAUGGAUCAGAAACCAUUUUUUUUCCAAAUAUCACAUAUCAAGUCAAGAAAGCGCUUUAAUCAAGUAAGCAUAGAACAAGCAGGAACACUCACCAAGAGUGAAGUCACAGAUCAAGCUGGGAAUCGAAAUCCACGUCCUCGCUAAACCCUAGAAAACCAAGUUUUAAAACUAUAAGUUUUACUAUACAAGUUCUUGGUUUACGUAUAUAAAAGAUUAUCUAGUAUACAACUAGUUUAUUUUCUUGAAAUAAAUCGACAAUCCACUUAAAGUUAAAAGUAGUAAAAUAUUUCGUAUAGUUUCCUUAAAAAUACUUUUCUUUCUAGAGGUGCAGCUAAAUCUAAUUUACUUAAAGUAAGUUUUCUUGCCGAGCAAGUUUUCUAUGUCUUUUAUUUGAAAUUAUUCAAAUCUAGUGUUUUUACAAAUUUCCUCUAAAACAACUGGUCAAGGAUAAUUUUAUGAAAAACUUAAAGUUUGGAAGUUAAUGCAAUUAUUCCCUAAAGGUAAUAAAACUAGUUUAAGUAAAGGAAAACAUUAACUAGUCGGCAAGGUUUUAAAAGUCCUGAUAUUAAAAUCUUAAAAUGAACGUACUAUACUAUAUAUAACUUGCUAUUAAGGCAAAAUAUUCCCACAAGGCUUGAUUUAAAGAUACUUGAAUUCAAAAGACUAAAAUGGACUUCACGAUUCCAAUUCAUUUGCACAUUGUAUUCCAAGAUGCCAUUAUAGGUAAAACACAAUUCAAAUAUAAAUUUCACUAGGGCUUCAUCAAUCAUUAGCCCUAAGUCUCAAUAGAUUUCAUUCAAACAAAUUUAACAAAGGAAGUCCACGGUAUCAAAACAAUUCCAAAUCACCAACCAUGGACCUUCCAAAUACAUUUCAGCCAACUACUAGAACAAAUUCAUCAAAAAUUAAAUUCUUGCAAAAACUACUCAAGGGGCCAAGAGCUUCAUCAAUCAUUAGCUCUUGACAACAAAUAAACACUUUCAAUCACAAUUCAACCAGCUUUUCAAGUGUUACAAUCAAUAAGAUAAACAUGAUAACUAGCACAAUAUGAUACAAGACAUUUUACUUAGAAUUAUAGCCAAUUAUCAUGAACAUUUUCCAAAACAAUAUAAGAAUUCCAGCUCCUUUCUCAUUUAGCCAUUAACCAAUUUUUCCAGCAACAAGACUUCGACCUUUUACACUCCCAGCUUAUCAUGCAGAUGGUAAUUAUUAUAAUUACGGGGUAUCUUAAACAAUGACAUGAAAUUUACAGCUUAUAACAUAAUUUUAGAACCCAAAAUUCGCAAAAGAAAACUGGAAAAUUCUUUUCUUCUUCACUCGGCUACACUGGAAAAAUUCCAGCAGCUUAGUCAAUCAUUAAUCCGGAUUGUCCUCGGCUGAAUCACUAAAUUAUGUACUCAAAACUAACAUGCAUGACUAAUAAAUGGAACUACUAUCAAUUCCAGUCCAAAACAGGGUCGGACACCAACAACAUUCAUCCAAAAUUCCAGAAUUUGUUCAACUAUUUUCGGAUGACUUGCAUGCAGCAGAUUUUUGUUUCAUUUUUUUUUCUUGUUUGAUCCGAACUGAUUAACCUCAUGCAUAGCAUAAUCACCUAGUUCCUAGUUAGCUAAUCACCUAUCUAAGCUCAGAUUAUCACGAUCAAACAAGUCAAGGCUAAAAUUUCCAGCUCAAGCUCACGGCAAAUUCCAAAUUCUUCCGAAACCCAUUUUCUGGUAACUCAAUACUUCAUCCAAACGCACAACCCUCACAUGCAUGCCUCUAAACAGCUUCAUCAACCCAUAAACAACUCAUCUAAGUCCAGAAAUUACCUCAGCUUGAAGCUUAACACACUCGGCCAGCAGCAGAAAUAUUUUUCCUCUCUUCUCGGCUUUGCUCACGCACGCGAGGAUGGUUGGUCUGAGUUCAGUAAUUGCAGCUGUGGUGAUUGUGAUUGAAUUGAUCACGGCUGGUUGAAGGUGAAGAAUGAAAUGGCAGCUCUCGAGUGAUGGAGGAAGUAAUGAAGCUCGCACGGUUAUCUCUUGCUCUCACCCUCUCUCGGACAGUUCAAGGGCCGAAACUCGCACAGCUCUCUCUCUGAUUUCCUCUCGUCGAUGAUACCAAGGCAGGAGGUGAAAUGAAAUGAAAUGGUGUUAUGGAAUGUUGGAGUUGCUGAAAUGGAAGACAAGUCGCGGAUGAGGGAGGUGGAGUGUGAGUGGGUAGUGGACUGUAUAUAUUGAAGUGUUUGGAGUGGAGCUAAGUCGGCACUUGGAAUGGAAGGUGCUGGAAUGAAAAUAUUGUGGUGAGUAGUAGUUGUUAAAGUGGAGAAGGGAACGAGGUCCUUUUGUUACCUUUUCGGACCAAAGUCUCUCGGCUGUUUCUAUUUUGGGAAGGUUAGGGUUCCAGCAAUGGCAGGCCUCCAGCCGCCAGGAGGGGGGCUUGGCCGUUCCUUUGCUGCCGUGCUUCAGCAGCAGCCAACGCCAUCCCCUUGCAAGGUUAAACCCGCUGCCCAGUUCAAAGAUGAGCCGGCCGUCAUGUUCUCGGAGGAAGACAUAGCAAAGUUGGCGGCACCCUUCAAGUUUGCUGUCGUGGGGAAGUUCUCCUAUGGGCGGCCGAACCUUGACGCUAUCCGAAAGUCCUUCACAACUAUCGGUUUCACAUCCAGUUUCACCAUAGGUCUCCUAGACCAGCGGCAUAUCCUGAUACGUUUUUGUUUGGAGGAGGAUUACUUGCGGUGUUGGACGAAGGGGCUGUGGAGUAUUGCUGAUUUCCCCAUGCGUACCUUCAAGUGGACACCAGAUUUUAAAGUUACCAGCGAGUCCACUCAUGCGCCUGUCUGGGUUGCUCUAGAACAUCUGCCCAUCCACUUUUUUGACAAAGUCUCGCUGUUUUCAAUUGCUGCUGCCCUUGGCAGCCCUUUACAAGUUGAUGCUGCGACUGCUAAUUUGGUUCGGCCCAGUGUUGCACGUAUCUGCAUCGAUCUGGACAUCUCUAGGGAGUUGCCUAGUCGCAUUUGGAUUGGGACGGGCAGCCAUGGUUUCUGCCAGCUGGUAGCAUAUGAGAACUUGCCAGCAUACUGCUCGCUUUGCUGCAGCCAGGGACACUCCAAUACGGAAUGUCGACAGGGCAGGCGUGGGAGUAGGGGCGGUCCAGGCGGAGGAGAGGUUGUCAGGGCUAUGGAGGCACAGGCUCAGGAGGGGAGGAGCGCCGCUGCUGCCCAGCACAGGGAUGCAGUUUUGCAACCAGCAUCCAUGACUGGCCUCUUGACGGCGACAGAUGCCGCGCCUGUUGGGGCUGAUAUGGCCUUGCAUACCCAGGAGAGGGUCGUUGAUGCGCCUUUGAAGGUCACGGAGAACCCAUCAGCCUUGGGGAUCAUUUGUGAUGAUACGCAGCUCCAUUUGGGUGAGCAAGAAAAGGUAUCCUCCCAGGGAUCUCUCUCGGAUGGAGAGGAUCAGCCAAGAAAGGCCGCACCAGAUAAGGCUGCGCUGGUAGCCUCCUUCCAACAGUUCAGUAUGGCUUUGGGGUCGCGGUUACCCAAGCAAAUUGCUGAAUGCGACGAGGCCGGCUUCACCAUGGUACUCCCGCGGAAGUCGAGGAAACGAAGGGUGUACAAUGCUAUUCCCCGGUAGAUUCUUACGCGACAAGCUUCUAAAGCCGUCGAGGUACCCCACAUUUCUUUACCCAAUGCAUAAUCUCCUCAUUUGGAACGUUAGAGGAGCGACGAACAAUUCUUCUGUUCGUCGUCUGCGGGCUUUGCUCUGUCUACAUCACAUUGCUAUUUUAGUUCUCCUAGAACCUAUGGCAGACACAUGUAACAUAGAAACCUUGCGUGUGAAGCUUUCUUUUGACUUUUGCUUGCUUAAUUCCUCGAAUAAGAUUUUGGUUUUUUGGCAUUUUGGUUUUCAUUUCCAUGUGCUGUGCAAUUCGGAACAAUUCCUCCAUGUUAUGGUCGGCCACAACUCUUGGACUGAGACUAUUAAUGCGUCAUUUGUUUAUGCCAAGUGCACCAGGGCCGAAAGGCGUAUCUUAUGGUCUGAGUUAAGCUCCCUCGCUGGGUCGAUCUCCCGACCGUGGCUGGUAGGGGGGAUUUCAACGUUAUCGGCACACUGGCAGAGUAUGUGGGCCGAUCGACCCAAGACCUUGGGGCGAUUUCUGAUUUUAAUGGUGUAAUUUCUGACUGCCACCUCCAGGACCUCCCUUACUCCGGAAGCUCUUACACAUGGUCAGGUGUUAGAGCCGGUGCCAGGAUUUAGAAGCGGCUGGAUAGGGUGCUUGUCAAUCAGCACUGGCUCGAUUUCUUGCCGAAUACCUCUGUCCAACAUCUCAAUCGUGCCACCUCUAACCAUUCGCCCUUGUUAGUGAGUCUGCGGCUUGCAGCUGCUAGCAUUCCGAAGCCAUUCAAAUUCCAGUCGUUUUGGGUUUCAAGCCCUGGGCUCUUGCCGCUGGUGCAGAGUAUUUGGGAUUUACCCAUGCAGGGGUAUGGUAUGUACCGCUUGGCUUUCAAGCUAAAGCGGUUGAAAACAUGUUUAAGACAAUGGAGUAGAGAGCAGUUCGGGGACAUAUUUCAAACCAUCCGGCAGCACGAGGUUGAGGUGCAGCAAAAGGAGGUUAUGUACGAAGCUAGCCAAACAGUAGAGACGAGGGCAGAACUUCACCACGCACAAGGCCACCUGUUACAGAGUUUAAGUGUUCAAGAGGACUACUGGCGACAGAAGGCGCGCUUACGCUGGGUGAGCGACGGCGAUUCAAACACAAGAUAUUUCCAUGCUUUUGUUCGGGAGAAGCGAUCGAAACUUGCCAUACAUCGCAUUAAGGAUGAGGGAGGGACAUGGCUCGAGGGUGACGACCGAGUUGGAGAGGAGGCAGUUAGGUUUUUUCAACAGCUCCUCACAGCGGAGGAGAUCAGGGAUGUUGAGGAGCUACUGGUCCAUAUACCGGAGCUUGUGUCGGCGGCUCAGAAUGGGGAAUUGAUGAGAGAAGUCACGAUGGAGGAGGUAAAAGGGGUCGUGUUUGACCUGGAUAAGGAUAGUGCCCCGGGUGUGGAUGGCUACACUGGCCUUUUUUUCCGCCAUUGCUGGGACACUGUGGCUCUUGAUGUUUUGGCAGCAACGAGAGACUUUUUGGCUGGGACCCCGAUCCCAAAGGGUAUUGCUAGUACCCUAAUUGUGCUGAUCCCGAAGAAACCAAACCCAGCUACAUUUGCAGAUUUUUGUCCCAUUAGCCUAUGCACUUUCAUUAAUAAAGUUUUUACGAGAGUGCUUGCUAAUAGAUUGCGGGCUAUUCUCCCAGGCCUUAUGUCUCCUGAGCAAUCUGCGUUUUGUCCAGGCCGCGAUAUUGCCGAAAAUGUCCUCUUCACCCAGGAAAUGAUAGCAUCCAUCAACAAGAAAGCCCGGGGACACAACUGCAUCUUCAAAUUGGACAUGAUGAAAGCCUUUGACAAAGUAUCCUGGGUGUUUCUGCAGCGACUCCUUCAGAAGUUUGGUUUUGAUUAUAGGUUUAUCUUGCUCGUUUUGAACAACCUCUCUCAAAGUUGGUUUUCUAUGAUGGUGAAUGUGUGACAGCCCCACCUUCCCCUAACGCGAACCAAAGAGGUUAGCGGACUGCCUGCCCAACUCUCGCCAGGACUAACGGUGCAGUUUAGAGCGAUCUAUCUCGUUCCGGAACUUAUAAACGCGCGUAAACAAGGCAAAAGGGCAAAAUAACCCAAAAUAAAAAAAAAAAAUGAAAUUCGAAGUCGGUCAUGAAUAGUAACUGACCCGUCAGAACGCAACCAAAUAUUGAACAAACAUUCACAUCUUGAACUUUAGCAAAUACAAUCCAAAGUGACAUACAAAAGUUGUCAAAAGUGAAUAUAUACAAGGUUUGCCAAAUUGAAAGUGAAAACGGCCCUAAAGUUACAUUUAGGGUUUCACUUCAUACACAAUACAAAAAAUAUACAUUUAGUUCAUUCGGCAACCAUCUAUCAAGAUUCAUUCCAAAAAAGUCAUAUUCCUAUAAGGAAAACAAAAGAAACGGUGUGAGCUAAUUGCCCAGUGAGAUACUAUCACUUACACAACCAAGUGCAUAUAAGCAUCAAACUUUCAAUCAAUAUAAUAAAAAUAAGCAAAGGCACGCGUCAAAUAUGGUGAUAAAAGGAUACAGAUGGCUCUCAAGAGCCCUUUUCCUUGUUUGCAUUUCUUGAUCGAACGUCAUUGACUCUUCGUCAAUGUUCAACAACAACCAACCGUAGAUUCCACUUUACUUCCAUUCCUUCCACCUAACAUUCCCCAACGGGGCCCGAAAUCCAAACACUUGCAUUGUGGUAUUACUCGAGUAAACCGGAAUUGAGAGUCUCUCAUACUACAAGAUUCCAUAUAACAUUGCCCCAAGGCACAUUAAUUGGCACGACCAAGCCCUCACCGGCUCGAUUCAAUCAAUUACCAAUGGGGUUGAGCUCAUUGAUAACAUUUGUAGUCGUUGGAGACUCGUCCAAACGACACCAAGUCAUGCAUUUCAUUUCAUAUAACAUCUCAUAUAACAUUCCAAUAACUUUUCAAUAACAUGCGAAACAAUAAGUGAGAAUGAUAAAGUACACUCUCACUCCAAUGAAUUAACAUUCAAAAUCUCAAGUUCAAAUAUCAAAGCCAUAUAAUAGCACACAAGUGAGUAGUACACUCACCAAGCUAGCAAAUGUGGUUUCAUGCACUUCCGUCAAAAGAACGUUGUGCACCACCGUCACGCCCUAAAACAUGCAAACAAAUACAAUGAGACUCGAUAACGAGUCAUAAACCAAGGCCAAACAUGACCCCAAUAGGGUUCCAUAAGCAUAUACAAACAUUAAAGGAAACCAGAAAUUUCGGAAAUGUAACUAGCUUUGGCCCUGAAAAAAUAGUUUUGUCCUCAUUUUGCGGUAAUGGUACCAAUUUCACUACGAUUAUCGGAUGAGGGUACAAGACCCACCAUCUCGAAGCUAAAAGACAGGGCUACAACAUCCCAGAAGGUCACUCAACCCAGUUUUGAGUGCAAACAGGUCAAAAAUGCAAUAUACUACAUCAAAAACGUAAAACAGAUUCACCAAAAUGCAUUCUAGCGGAAAUAUCAUAACUCAGGCUCUACAAGUCCAAAUCUAGAAAUUCCAAAACCAUCUGAAAGCUACGAAACAGGGCUAAAUUUCAUCAGAAGGCCUCAACAACCAAUUCAGAAACAAUUCCAGCCAAAACAACCCAUUACAGUCGCACUUCUCAAUUUCGGGUAAAACCAGAACAGCAAUAGUAAUUUUGACUUAUCUCAUUCUAUACUACUCUGAUUGACCUGAAAUUUUGUAGGCACCUCUAUAAUGUAAUUCCCUACAACUUUCAUGUUUUAAGAUAAGGCUAAUUCAGCCUCUAUCUAGGACCUAAAAUUUCGGACAGAAUGCUCCCUCAAGAACCCUAGUUUUCUGAAAUUUCUUCCAAACCAGAAAUUGAUUGCAAUUAAUCACUUUUUCCACCUCCUUAAGUAAUUAUAGACCAUUUCCAAUCAUCAUAGAUAGCCACACAAUCAUGCUUAUAUUAAAACAGAAAAAUCCCCAAAAAUAAUAAAACUUCAUCAUUUCAACCACAAAUCAAGAAUUAAUCCAUAAACUUGCAUCUUAUACUACCACUAAACAUGAUUUAAGCAUCAAUUAAAGGAGGAGGGUGGUUCUUCACAACUUACCUUAAGAACAAGAGAGAGAGAGCUAUUGACCACCUUAACUUUCCAAACAACUCCACAAAUCCACUCACUAACUCUAAUUGAAGAGGUUUUAUGGAGUAAUUUCAAGGUUGGAUGGUUAGUUUUGAUGAUUUGGAACAAGAUUGAAGUGUUUUCUUCCUUGUGCUUGGAGUAAGAGAGAGAGAAAGAGAGCAAGAGAGGACCGGCUUCAAGGAGGAUUUUUUUGAGGAUUUUUGGGUCAUUUUGGUUAUUUAAGUCAAUGGUAAGAAAAGUCUUAAGGUAAGGCCAAUCAAAUGGUGACACUUGUCACCUAUUAUUAAAUGCUCACCAACCUUGUCUCUCUUAUAUCAAUCCACUUAGCACCCUCUACUUAUCUUUUAACACCCGGUAACUUAAUUCCAGUAUGCAAAACUUAACCUAGUUGGCCGAAUUUUUCCGAACUUUUCGCACUAGCGGGUCCCACGUCCGAUAUAUAUCCUUAAUUUUUUCAAAAACUAUCCAAUACUAGAAAAAUCAUCUAAAAACUAUAUUUACUCAUAAAAUUCACCAAGAAACUUUCCCUAAGCCAGAAAAUGCAGAAAACAUGCCAUUAAGGGAAAAAACCCUAGGAAAAUAUUAGGAGGAAUUUACAGGUUCUAACACUCUCUCCCCCUUAAAAGAAUUUCGCCCUCGAAAUUUAUCACCUUAACUCCCGAAAAGGUUUGGGUAUUUCUUUCCCAUUUUUUCUUCCACUUCCUAGGUAGCUUCCUCUAUCCCAUGGUUUCUCCAUAGUACCUUCACUAACAGAAUCUGCUUGUUUCGAAGCUCUUUGACUUUCCGGUCAAGCACUUGGACAGGUUUUUCUUCGUAAGCAAGCGAUUCGUUUACUUCGAUCUCCUCCGAUUGUAAGAUAUGGGAUGGAUCGGGAUAAUAUUUUUUUAGCAUCGAGACGUGGAAUACGUCGUGAAUUCGAGAGAGACUGGACGGCAGCUCUAAUCGAUACGCGACCGCUCCUACCCUCUGGAGGAUCUUGUAGGGUUCGACGUACCGCGGUUGGAGCUUCUUUCCUUUGCCUGCUGUGACACUUCGUAAGGGUGUGAUCUUGAGGAAUACGUUGUCCCCAACUUCGAACUCCAAGUUUUUUCUUCGAUUAUCCGCGUAGCUCUUUUGUCGGCUUUGAGUUGUUUGGAGUCGUUGCCGUAUCAAUUUGACCUUCUCUCGAGCCUCUUCCAUCCAUGGAAUAGUUACCGGGUCUAGUGCCUUCUUUUCGCCAACUUCGUCCCAGUAAAUCGGUGACCGGCAUUUUCGUCCAUAUAAUGCUUCAUAUGGAGCUAUUUGAAUCGACGAAUGGUAGCUGUUGUUGUACGCAAACUCUACUAAGGUCAUGUGUUGACCCCAGUUGCCUCCAAAAUCCAGAAUGCAAGUUCGUAGCAUGUCCUCGAGAGUUUGAAUCAUUCGCUCCGAUUGUCCAUCCGUCUGAGGGUGAUAGGUCGUGCUCAAAUUGAGUUUAGUCCCCAGGGUUUCUUGAAACUUCUGCCAAAAUCGAGAUACGAACCGUGGAUCUCGAUCGGAGACGAUGCUCACAGGAAUGCCGUGUAGCCUUACAAUCUCGUCCAUGUACAGUUGGGGCAACUUGUCCAUGGAAUACUUCAUGUUCACCGGCAAGAAAUGGGCCGACUUGGUUAACCGAUCGACGAUCACCCAAACGGCAUUGUGUCCUCGCUGCGUUCGCGGCAAACCUGAAACGAAGUCCAUAGUGAUGUUUUCCCACUUCCACUCGGGUAUCUCAAGGGGCUGUAACAAGCCCGAUGGUUUUUUAUGCUCUGCUUUAACUUGUUGGCACACGAGGCAUUUCUGCACGUACAAAGCGAUUUCCUUGUUCAUAUUGUCCCACCAAUAGGUUCCUUUCAGGUCUUGAUACAUCUUGCUGCUACCCGGAUGGAUUGUAUACUUGGAUCGAUGGGCUUCUUCUAGAAUUUCCGUUUUCAACGAUUCAUCCUUCGGCACCGCUAUUCGGUUUCGGUAUUUUAAAAUACUCUCAGGACCAAAAUUGAAAUCAGUGGUUUCCCCUUUUUCCACUUUCUCUCCCCACUUCUGUACCAUCAGAUCCUCCUUUUGAGCUUCUUUAAUCCUCUCCAACAGGGUGGAAGUCACUUUAAUAUUACCAAAAAUCAUCUUAUGACUCCCAAGGCAGGGUCUCCACUCGCAAACCGACUCGAGCAAAUUCCACUCUCUAAUCAUUAAGCUUGCAACCUGAGCUUUGCGACUUAGAGCGUCGGCCACUACGUUCGCCUUUCCUGGAUGGUAGUUGAUGGUACAGUCGUAAUCCUCUAGAAAUUCCAUCCACCAUCGCUGCCUCAUAUUUAAUUCCUUCUGUGAGAAAAGAUACCUCAGGCUUUUAUGAUCGGAGUAAACUUCGAAAGUUACUCCAUAUAAGUAGUGCCUCCACUUCUUCAGAGCAAAAACAACUGCAGCUAACUCCAGAUCGUGGGUCGGGUAAUUUUGCUCGUGGGGUUUUAACUUCCUCGAGGCAAAAGAGAUCACAUUUCGAUUUUGCAUUAAUACACAACCCAGGCCUUCUCGGGAUGCAUCAGUGUACACAACAUAUCCAUCCACCCCGUUUGGUAAGACUAGAACUGGAGCCAUGGUCAAUCUUUUCUUUAAUUCCUGAAAACUUGUCUCACUUCGGGCGUUCCAUAAGAACCGAACAUGUUUCUUCGUCAAAUCAAUUAGAGGACCGACUAGUUUGGAGAAGUCCUUGAUAAAACGCCGGUAAUAUCCAGCCAGUCCUAGAAAGCUGCGGACCUCUGUGGGAGUUUCUGGCCUCUUCCAAUUAGUCACAGCCUCUACUUUCGCCGGGUCGACUGAAAUACCCUCUUGAGAAAUUAUGUGCCCCAGAAAAGCAAUUUUCUCCAGCCAAAAUUCGCACUUGCUGAACUUGGCAUAUAGUUGAUGAUCUCUCAGGGUUUGCAAGACAAUCCUCAAGUGUUGCUCAUGCUUUUCACGGGUCUUGGAAUAGACCAGGAUGUCAUCGAUGAAGACCACUACAAAUCGAUCUAGGUAGGGCUUAAAAACCCUAUGCAUUAGGUCCAUGAAGGCGGCAGGAGCAUUGGUUAAUCCAAAUGGCAUAACUGCGAACUUGUAAUGGCCAUAUCUCGAGUUGAAGGCGGUCUUCGGAAUAUCCUCCUUUCUGAUUAAUAACUGGUAGUACCCUUGGCGGAGGUCCAGUUUCAAGAAAACCACCGCUCCUUGCAACUGAUCAAAUAGCUCAUCGAUAUGGGGCAGUGGAUACUCAUUUUUAAUUGUAAUAUUAUUCAGGCCCUGAUAAUCAAUACACAUCCUCAAACCACCAUCUUUUUUCUUUACAAACAGUACAGGAGCUCCCUAAGGAGACCCACUCUCUUGAAUGAAUCCCCGCCCCAAAAGGUCCUGUAAUUGCAACUUUAGCUCCUUGAGCUCGGCAGGAGCCAUUCGGUAUGGUGUUUUUGAGAUGGGUGAGGCUCCCGGUAGCAGGUCUAUUUUGAAUUCAAUUUCUCUUUCUGGAGGUAAGGCUACUAAUUCAUCAGGAAACACGUUCGGAAAUUCCUUCACUAUGGCCACAUCCUCCACUUUCAACUUAUCCGUGGGGGUGUUAAUCAAAAAGGCCAAAAAUCCUUGCGCUCCUCUACUUAGCAAUUUCCUAACCCGAAUGCCCGAAAUUAAAGCAGAUGAGGCUAACAUACCCCUUAUAUCCAACCUUAUGGUUGCCUCACCAGGGAUACGAAAUUCCACCACUUUCGUUUUACAAUCCAGUUGGGCAUUAUACUGGCUAACCAAUCCAUACCCAAAAUCACAUCAUACCCCUUAAUGACCAGACUUAUCAAAUCCCCUAACAAUCUUUUCUCUCCUACCCACACUUCACAAUCCUUAUAAACCAUACUAGUAACCAAGCAUUGAUUCCCCGUAGGUGUACUAACUUCUAGGUCGUAUGGUAAACUAGCAGGUUUUAUAUCGAUGCCACACAUGAAAUCAGGGUUAACAAAGGAAUGGGUGGCACCAGGAACAAUUAAAACUUUGGCAAAACGGUGGAAAAUAGGGAUCGUACCUUCUACGACCUCUGAGGAUUCUGGGACCUGUCGAGGUUCUAAGGAAUAGACUCGAGCUGGCACUUUAGGUUUCGCCUCAUUCCUCUUAUUCGGUCCCGUAUUGGUCUUUGGCGUGGUUUGAGUUCCCCUUCCGUCUUGCGUUAUGAGUGGGCAGGUAGCAAGCUGGUGGUCUGCGUUUCCGCAACGCAGACAUUUGCCUCCCUUCUUCCAGCAAUUAUCUUCAGAGUGAUUCAGCUUUCCGCAGUACCCGCAAGGUCCACGAGAUGCCGAACCUGAGCCCCUCUGGAAGUUUCCACCUUGGCCUCUCCCGGCUGGGCCGCCCCUAGACUGAGCCCCUCUGCCGGAACCUGACUGUCGUCCACCUCCAGCUCCGUGUCCAAACUUGGAGGGAGUACCUUUGUCCCCUUGUCCAGAACUGCUUCCAGGAAAGUCCCGCUUCUUCGCUUGGAAGUUCCGGACUUGCAAUCGAGCACUCUCUACCCUUGGGGCCUUUUCUACGACCUCGCUAAAAGCAUUGAUUUGAGCCACUGCGAGGUCCUUUUGAAUUUCGACGUUCAAGCCCUGAAUGAAACGCCUGAUUCGCCGUUGCUCUCUCAUGAUCAGCUCAGGCACAAAUUUGGACAAACUGGUGAACUGGCUCUCGUAUUCCCCCACCGAUUGAGUUCCUUGGUGGAGUUGGAUGAACUCGUCUUCCUUCCUUUCCUGAACUAGAGGAGGGAAGAAUUUCGCAUCAAAUUCCCGGAUGAAAUUCACCCAAGUCCUGGGCGUUUAUUCCCAUUCCCAUUUUUGUCGUAUGACGUUCCACUAGGAACGGGCCGCCCCUUCGAACUGGAAUAUGGCAAAAGUCACCUGCCGUUCAUCGGUGUAGUGCAAAGCCGCAAAAAUAUCAACCAUCUUCUCGAGCCCUCGCUCGGCAACAUCCGGAUCAGGUCCCCCAAUGAAUUUGGGUGGAGCAAAUUUUUGAAAACGUUCGAGAGCUCUGUCUUCACUCUCGAUGUGGUUACCAGGGUUUCCAGGAUUAGGGUUUGUAUUCUGGCCUUGUUGCUGCACCACUUGUGCUAGCAAGUUAGUCAUUUGCUGCAUAGCGGCAGCGAUUUGCACAUUGGGGUCAGGGUUAGGUCCCGUAGAAGUUUCUCCAAUACCCCUAUCCGGUGUGGGUUGUCUAUUUUCGCGCCCACGUCCCCGUCCACUACGUGUUCCUUCCAUACUUUAUAUGAUCUAGGCAAUGGUACUAAACCAAUAUAAAACAAUGCAUGUAAGUAUACUCAAAACUUUCCAAACACACAUAUAUACAUUACAAACAAGACAAACAACACACAUAUAUACAAUCAGUCAAGUCACAUGCAAGCAUCGACAAUCCCCAAGGGAAUGGCCUCAUCAAAAGAAAUAUACACGUAGCUAAUCUAGCCGUACAAAAUGAUUAGCUAAGGCCCUACUCCCUAUCCGCCCUAUAUACAAGACCAAAACUAUCUACAACAACUCUAGGAGUCGUAACCUAGACCGAUGACGAGCUAUGAGACCCACCCGACGGAGUGGAUCCAACCCCAGCCUCAGACCUCGCACAGGAGUCCUUGUCUCUCACUCCCUCCACCACCUCGGCGCAGAGGUUCAGGAUCGCAGCAGCUCUAUUCUUCACCUUUCGAGCCCUCUUAGACUCGCGCUCACGCGCCUCCCUAAGCUGGGUACAGAGAUCAUCAACUCUAUUCUCAACCUCUAGUACAUCGUACUUCAAAUCCUAAAUGCGCUUAGCUUGUUUCUCAUUAUCUGCCCUCAACUGCUUCACCUCAGUCUCAAGCCUAGCGUUAUCUUUCGCCAACGCCUUCUGCUCCUUUGCCACGGCCAACACUAAGGUGUUAGGGUAGGCGUAGGCGUGGCGACACUCACACCGACGAAGGCGACUCGCCGGACUCCAACGCAAGACGCCCCUGUCAGCCGAAUCUGGUACGGGAUCACUGGGAGCGCUACACGGGGGUCGCUCGCCUGCAGGGCCAUCGCUCGGUCCACUAGAUCCGUCCAUCCUACACCAAAAGUGUAAAUAAGCAUAAAUAAGCUUAAAGGCCAUAACAAAGAACCCUCAAAUCAAGCAAUUCUAUAACACCCAGGCUAAUUCAAACCUAGGCUCUGAUACCACCUGUGACAGCCCCACCUUCCCCUAAGGCGAACCAAAGAGGUUAGCGGCCUACCUGCCCAGCUCUCGCCAGGACUAACGGUGCAAUUUAGAGCGAUCUAUCUCGUUCCGGAACUUAUAAACGCGCGUAAACAAGGCAAAAGGGCAAAAUCACCCAAAAUAAAAAAAAAUGAAAUUCGGAGUCGGUCAUGAAUAGUAACUGACCCGUCAGAACGCAACCAAAUAUUGAACAAACAUUCACAUCUUGAACUUUAGCAAAUACAAUCCAAAGUGACAUACAAAAGUUGUCAAAAGUGAAUAUAUACAAGGUUUGCCAAAUUGAAAGUGAAAAAGGCCCUAAAGUUACAUUUAGGGUUUCACUUCAUACACAAUACAAAAAAUAUACAUUUAGUUCAUUCGGCAACCAUCUAUCAAGAUUCAUUCCAAAAAAGUCAUAUUCCUAUAAGGAAAACAAAAGAAACGGUGUGAGCUAAUUGUCCAGUGAGAUACUAUCACUUACGCAACCAAGUGCAUAUAAGCAUCAAGCUUUCAAUCAAUAUUAUAAAAAUAAGCAAAGGCACGCGUCAAAUAUGGUGAUAAAAGGAUACAGAUGGCUCUCAAGAGCCCUUUUCCUUGUUUGCAUUUCUUGAUCGAACGUCAUUGACUCUUCGUCAAUGUUCAACAAUAACCAACCGUAGACUCCACUUUACUUCCAUUCCUUCCACCUAACAUUCCCCAACCGGGCCCGAAAUCCAAACACUUGCAUUGUGGUAUUACUCGAGUAAACCGGAAUUGAGAGUCUCUCAUACUACAAGAUUCCAUAUAACAUUGCCCUAAGACACAUUAAUUGGCACGACCAAACCCUCGCCGGCUCGAUUCAAUCAAUUACCAAUGGGGUUGAGCUCAUUGAUAACAUUUGUAGUCGUUGGAGACUCGUCCAAACGACACCAAGUCAUGCAUUUCAUUUCAUAUAACAUCUCAUAUAACAUUCCAAUAACUUUUCAAUAACAUGCGAAACAAUAAGUGAGAAUGAUAAAGUACACUCUCACUCCAAUCAAUUAACAUUCAACAUCUCAAGUUCAAAUAUCAAAGCCAUAUAAUAGCACACAAGUGAGUAGUACACUCACCAAGCUAGCAAAUGUGGUUUCAUGCACUUCCGUCAAAAGAACGUUGUGCACCACCGUCACGCCCUAAAACAUGCAAACAAAUACAAUGAGACUCGAUAACGAGUCAUAAACCAAGGCCAAACAUGACCCCAAUAGGGUUCCAUAAGCAUAUACAAAUAUUAAAGGAAACCAGAAAUUUCGGAAAUGUAACUAGUUUUGGCCCUGAAAAAACAGUUUUGUCCUCAUUUUGCGGUAAUGGUACCAAUUUCACUACGAUUAUCGGAUGAGGGUACAAGACCCACCAUCUCGAAGCUAAAAUACAGGGCUACAACAUCACAGAAGGUCACUCAACCCAGUUUUGAGUGGAAACAGGUCAAAAAUGCAAUAUACUACAUCAAAAACGUAAAACAGAUUCACCAAAACGCAUUCUAGUGGAAACAUCAUAACUCAGGCUCUACAAGUCCAAAUCCAGAAAUUCAAAAACCAGCUAAAAGCUAAGAAACAGGGCUAAAUUUCAUCAGAAGGCCUCAACAACCAAUUUGGAAGCAAUUCCAGCCAAAACAACCCAUUACAGUCGCACUUCUCAAUUUCGGGUAAAACCAGAACAGCAAUAGUAAUUUCGACUUAUCUCAUUCUACACUACUCCGAUUGACCUGAAAUUUUGUAGACACCUCUAAAAUGUCAUUCCCUACAACUUUCAUGUUUUAAGCUAAGGCCUAUUAUGCCUCUAACCUAAAAUUUCGGACAGAAUGCUCCCUAUAGAACCCUAGUUUUCUGAAAUUUCUUCCAAACCAGAAAUUGAUUGCAAUUAAUCACUUUUCCCACCUCCUUAAGUCAUUAUAGACCAUUUCCAAUCAUCAUAGAUAGCCACACAAUCAUGCUUAUAUUAAAACAGAAAAAUCCCCAAAAAUAAUAAAACUUCAUCAUUUCAACCACAAAUCAAGAAUUAAUCCAUAAACUUGCAUCUUAUACUACCACUAAGCAUGAUUUAAGCAUCAAUUAAAGGAGGAGGGUGGUUCUUCACAACUUACCUUAAGAACAAGAGAGAGAGAGCUAUUGACCACCUUAACUUUCCAAACAAUUCCACAAAUCCACUCACUAACUCUAAUUGAAGAGGUUUUAUGGAGUAAUUUCAAGGUUGGAUGGUUAGUUUUGAUGAUUUGGAACAAGAUUGAAGUGUUUUCUUCCUUGUGCUUGGAGUAAGAGAGAGAGAAAGAGAGCAAGAGAGGGCCGGCUUCAAGGAGGAUUUUUUUUGAGGAUUUUUGGGUUAUUUUUGGUUAUUUAAGUCAAUGGUAAGAAAAGUCUUAAGGUAAGCCCAAUCAAAUGGUGACACUUGUCACCUUUUAUUAAAUGCUCACCAACCUUGUCUCUGUUAUAUCAAUCCACUUAGCACCCUCUACUUAUCUCUUAACACCCGGUAACUUAAUUCCAGUAUGCAAAACUUAACCUAGUUGGCCGAAUUUUUCCGAACUUUUCGCAAUAGCGGGUCCCACGUCCGAUAUAUAUCAUUAAUUUUUUCAAAAACUAUCCAAUACUAGAAAAAUCAUCUAAAAACUAUAUUUACUCAUAAAAUUCACCAAGAAACUUUCCCUAAGCCAGAAAAUGCACAAAACAUGCCUUUAAGGGGAAAAACCCUAGGAAAAUAUUAGGAGGAAUUUAUGGGUUCUCACAGAAUGGCAGAGCUAGGGGUUUUUUCCAGGCAACACGGGGAGUCAGGCAAGGAGACCCUCUGUCCCCUAUCCUUUUCAUUCUCGCUUCUGAAGCUCUUAGUAGGGGAUUGAAUGCGCAAGUAGCGGAUGGCAGGGUGGCCCUUUACUCAUUGCCCAGAGGUUGCACUGGGGUCACACACUUAUCUUUUGCUGACGAUAUUGUGAUAUUUGCUCAUGGGGAUAGGCGGUCUGUGGAUAGCCUGGUCCGAUUCUUAUCGCUCUAUCAGGCUGGUUCGGGCCAACGGGUUAACAAUCACAAGAGUUUCUUCAUAACUUCCCAUCGGUGUGGCGCGGGCCAAAUACGCAGAAUUCAGCAGCUAACCGGCUUCAGGCAUAGCUCCUUUCCUUUCUACUAUUUGGGGUGCAAUCUCUAUGUUGGGCAUCGGAAAAAAGAAUUCUUCCAAUUCUUGAUUGACAAGUUUGUUGCUAAGCUGGCAGGCUGGCAGAAAAGCUGCUCUCACAGGGGGGUCGUCUCAUCCUCAUUAAGCAUGUCGUUUCUGCCAUACCUUUGCACGUUGUGGCGGUAAUGGACCCCUCCACAGGAGUGCUAAAGGACCUCGAGCGCAUAAUGGUGAACUUUCUCUGGGGACAGACAGAAUUCGGUCCCAAGCAUCAUUGGUGCUCCUGGCGGAACCUUUGUUAUCCGGUGGAGGAGAAUGGUCUUGGAAUCCGAGCAAUUGAAGACGUUCAGGGGGCGUUCAGCUACAAAUUAUGGUGGCGGUACUGUAACUCGUCCUCCUUAUGGACAACUUUUAUGAGAUCACGCUAUGGUGUAGGUAACGGAGCUGCACGCGGGAGUUCCAGGGUCUGGAGACGGAUGCUUGCUGUUCGGGAUACGGUGGACCAGUUCACGCAAGCUAUAGAUUUGGAAGGCAGGGUUCAGCGGGCCUGGGUCCUUACACCCUCUAGCGAUUUCACUAUCUCCUCUGCAUGGGAUGCUCUCCGGCCUAAGCAGGAGUGCCUCUGGUCCAGGAAGUGCGUUUGGAGUAGCCGUGUCCCCUGCAAGCUUGCUGUAUUCAUGUGGAAACUGCUCAACAACUACUUACCGUUCCCGGACGCCUUGCAGCGGCUUGGUUUUCAACUUCCCUCUAAAUGCCAGUUCUGCAUGGGAGGGGAAUCUCAAGAUCACGUACUGUCGGACUGCACUCUUGCUACUGAGGUAUGGAAUUUCUUCUCUAGGGCUCUGUCAGUACCUGCAAUGGGCCCGACUGGCAUCUUCGGUCGCUUGCAGCAAUGGUGGCUUUACCAGUCUUCAGGCACUGCCCGGGGGAUGGUAUGUAGGGUGUUGCCAUCGCUUAUAUGUUGGGGGCUGUGGAAGGCUUGGAACAUGGCGAUGUACGAGGGCGCAGCAGCGUCACCGGUAUAGGUUUGCAAGGAGGUACAAACUCUGUUGCUUAGUAUAUCUCAGGUUCGACCUUUCGUCCAGGUGGCACGGGAUGACGGGGAGCUGGCCCACUUGGGCUUAUUGCUUUGCAUGGAACGGAAGAAGUCCGUGCUACCACGCUGGGUUGCAUGGUCGCGGCCACCUAUCGGGUGUGUCAAAUUAAAUAUUGAUGGCUCUUCUUUAGGGAAUCCAGGACACUCUAGAGCGGGUGCGGUAUUUCGUGAUUCAUGUGGUAACAUCCUUUGUUGUUUCUCGUGGUUUUUGGGAUCCCGGACAAACAUGGAAGCGGAGGCCAUGGCGUUACUGGAGGGUUUGUUACUCUCCGCUACUUUUCAUUCUUUGCACGUUGAAAUGGAUUCUCAGGUAUUGUUGAAUAUGGUGAACGGCGAUGGUGGAGUUCCUUGGAGAUUAUGGCUUACUAUCUCGCAUAUCAAAUCCUUAGUGCUCGGUCGCCAGAUCACCUUCACUCAUGUUUACAGAGAGGCAAACGCGGUUGCUGAUGCCCUGGCGCAUCUGGCAAGCACCACGCAUGUUUGUCAGUCCUUUCCCCCCUCCCCUUUGCCUGCCCACAUACGGGGGUUAGCCCACCUGGAUAGGAUACAGAUGCCUUAUGUCCGUUUGCCUUAGCCUGACUGGCAGACUGCUAGCUGUCUUGGUGUACGUUAAUGAUCCUUGGAAUAACAUUCGGAGUGGCGCCCACCCCCAAAAAUGGGGUUAGCCAAAAAAAAAAAAGUGGAGAAAGGAACCGGCUAGAGUGGAAAUGUUUGCAUGUGUAGUUUGUUCUAGGACGUUCCAUGGUUGCAUGGUGAAUUUGAAAUGGAGAAAGGCUAUUUCGGUCUUUUCACAACUUGUUCGCCCCUUCCACUUAAGCUCUCAUUCGUAAACUAACCCAAUAUUUUUCCUCAAAUGAAAUUCGAUAACCUUCUAGCAUACUAAUCCCGCAGAAAUUAAAUUAUCGAGAUUCAACGUCCUAAGCGUAAUUAUAAGAGGUUUUGUCCUAAGUCGUUUCCGUCUUAGUUCUAGGUUCCCGUUGACACUUAACGUUAUUAACACUUAAAACUAGCUAUCGGAAUUCAAAGAUUUAAUAUUAAAGCAUUAACAUAAUCUACAUCAAGAAAUAUUAAUUUAACUUGGCAAAAAUUCAAAUAGUUUAGUAUGUUGCACAAUUAAAUGAUUUGUAUCAUAAGAAUUAUUUUUACAAACCUAACUAAAACAAAUAAUAACAAAAUUUAUUCAAAAUCUAAAAUGCACAUGCAACAAGUAUAUACAUAUAUAUAUAUAUUUUUUUUCAAGGCUCUCACAAGAAAUAUCCUAGAAUGGUGCAAAAUAUAUAUAUAUAUAUAUAUGAAUCAAAUAAACAUAUGAUAUGCAUAUUGUAAUUUGAGCAAUUUGAAUAUAUUAUAUAGUUGAAUAAGUUACAUGACUAAUUAAUUUUCCUUAAAGCCAAAUGUGUGGAAAUCUACUAAAUUGAUAUAAGCGAAAAUUUUCAAGGUACAUAUAAAUUAGAACAAACGAAAUUUUGAGUCAACGUGUGAGACAAUAAAAUUAUAGCCUCGUAGCAAAUAAAUGAACUAAAAUUAAAGGACCGAACUAAUCUUGGGGAUUCGGUUAAACUACCAUGCAAUUAAGGAACUAGUUACCAGAAUUUUGACAAAACAGGAACCGAAUGGAAGCAUGGCAACUAUCUACUGUCUAAACGGUGGAAAGGAAAAAGGAGUAGGAGUUGUUUGAUAGUUGGGCCGUAGGAAACCUUUAUUUGGACAGCUGCCAGGAAGGAACUUACCACCGAAACUGGUGAGUAAGCAGCGACCGAAUGAGAGGAACUUGGAAUGAUCAGCCACCGAAUGGAGAAACAUUGAGUGAUCAGCUGAGUGAAGAAGUACGCUUAAUUCUCUUCCUACCAACCAAGCAUUAGGAACAAAACUGAGAGAGAGAGAUUCGGUCACACCCAUUUUAUCUCAAAAACCCAACCGAGUGAGAGGAAAAGAAAACAGAGAAUGAAGCUUUCUUUCCUCUUCAUACCCAAAACCGUGAGACAGAGUGAGAGUGAAGGAGCAUUUCUGGUUCCUUCUAGCCACAACCGAGUGAGUAAGAGAGCUGAGUGAGUGAUAAGAGGAGGAAGCUAACUUAGAAUUUCACAUAUCAGCUACCAUAGUGAGGAGGAACCGAAGCUAGGAGCAAUCUGCCACUAGUAAAACUUAGCAGAAAAAGGUAAGAAUCUUGUAACCACCCUUUUAUUUCUUGAAUAUAACUGAAUAUAUGGGCUUCAUGUUAG